CCCACUGUGCACUUGGUUACCAGGCUGACUCACACCCUGACGCUCCAGUCUCUGUGUAGGAAGUUAACAGCCAAAGCUCCUCCCACCUCUAAGAGCUCAGCCUCAAAGCCAAGAAUGGGGACAAGAAAACAGGCCGGAUGAAGCAGGAGCUCAGAACACCAGUAGAAAGUUCCAAGCCUGAGAACUUGCUUUCCACCCACAUCUGGCUGAGAUCUAUGGAUUGGGGGUGGAGUCUCUCCCACCGCUCUCCAAACCCUUCCAGACUGCAGCCUCUCAGCCCCCCUCACCACUCGUUAAGGAGGAUGGAGUACAAAGGAUCAGCUUGGAUGAGAAGGAGAAGAGAAUGUCAGUGUCACAGGUCACUUGCGUGGGAACACAGAGCCCUAGGCAGAAGACAGUGACUCAGAGCCCGGCCAGGUGAGUCAUCUGUGGACAGCAAAGCCCUCUCCACCGUCACGUCCCUCAGCACCGGAGUCCAACCACUUCUGGGAAGUGAAGCUGGAGCAGGUCUGUGUGGAGGAGGUAACUUCAUUGUUGGGAGCUAUUAAGACAACUCUAUUGUCUUGAUCUCCGAAUUGGGCCUCUCCCCCACCCCCAGAAGAAAAGGGGGUCAAAAGCAGGCCACCAACGCACGGUUCCAAGAACAACCACAGAAUGUUCCAGCCCUAAGUCAGCGCCAGAUGUCCUGACCUCAAGAUGUACCCUGAUACCACCAAGUUCCUGCUUCCCAGCGUAGUUGCCAAAAGAAAAAUUUCUGCUGCACCAUCCCUCCUGCUGAGAAGUACUUCCUCUUUUGCUUGUGCAUUUAAGCCUUGAGCCUUGCUGAAUAAAGUGAGACCUUGAUGC
Long non-coding RNA from Mus musculus (house mouse), 846 nucleotides. RefSeq annotates it as predicted gene, 46357. The record is from RefSeq and is a predicted model, not a curated record. The transcript has 3 exons. Lineage: Eukaryota; Metazoa; Chordata; Mammalia; Rodentia; Muridae.